Molecule: long non-coding RNA, 525 nt
Filed under: Vigna radiata
Lineage: Eukaryota; Viridiplantae; Streptophyta; Magnoliopsida; Fabales; Fabaceae
Description: long non-coding RNA (VRAD_LNC007555)
Source: RNAcentral
GGGAACCUCCCAAACGCGAAGGAAGUUUUCCAUAGCAUUGUCUUUGAAGAUGAUGGUGUUUACUUCUCUUCCAAAGCAGUCCUCCACAGUCAUUUCUUCACAAUUUCCAUCACAAUAAAAAAGUAAAGAUGAAAAUUACCUGUGAUAUACGGGCAACAGUCAGAAAGGCACAACGAAUUCAGCCAAGCUUCCGCCUCCCCUUUAUUCAGAGAAGCUUCAUCCGGUCGAAAAUAAAAGAUUCCACAGGGGCUCGCGUGGUAACAAGUCGAAUGAAAUUGCGAGAAAAGAAAAAGAAGUGAAGAACAGGAAGUAAAGAAGAACAAGAGAGCGGUUCGUUUCACGAAAAAAGAAAGAAGUGAAGAAAAAAGAAGAAAGAGAAAGAAGUGAGAACUGUUUCAAGCUAAGAAUGGCGGGAAUUAAAAGAAAACUUAGGAGCGGUUUAUUUAUUUAUACCGCAGCAAAUGCAUUUAAAAAAAUAAAAAACGGAAUUAAAUGUUUGUACAAUAUACCAUACAAUAUUAAAAU